Lolium perenne is the source of this 500-nucleotide long non-coding RNA. RefSeq lists it as uncharacterized. Lineage: Eukaryota; Viridiplantae; Streptophyta; Magnoliopsida; Poales; Poaceae. The record is from RefSeq and is a predicted model, not a curated record.
ACAAACCAAACCAGAAGUUGGUCUGAUGUAUCCGCAAAUGGUGUAUGUGUAUAAGGUCAUGUUCUGUACAGCCAUAUCUUCAUGACGGGCUCGGCUGCAGGGGCUAGGUGAGAGCUCAUCAGUAUAUGUUAGUAAUGCUCACUACCUCAGCGUCCACCGGUACUUGGUGCGACUUCCAUACAUCAUCAAGCUAGCGAGAUGGGCUCACCGCCUUGACAGCAUCAAGCUAAUGUGAUGCCCUUAUUAUUUGCCUAUAUGCUUCCGCUGGAUGUGUCUUCUAUGCUGCGGCAUUGACCUGCUGUGGUAGCUACGUAGAUAGGGCUAUGUAAAAGUUAUUUUGUGUAAGUGCAGUACAUCCUCUGGCUGAUUGGGAGGCUUGUAAGACAAUCCUUCAUCCAGACCCUAUGUUGAGAAUACGGGCUUAGCUUUAUAUGCUCUUUAACUACUCCUAUGCAUGACACGAACUGUUGCCCAGGAAGAAUUUUUGUUGAUACACUUUC